Molecule: transfer RNA, 73 nt
Filed under: Chitinophagales bacterium
Lineage: Bacteria; Pseudomonadati; Bacteroidota; Chitinophagia; Chitinophagales
Description: tRNA-Met
Rfam family: tRNA
About the family: Transfer RNA (tRNA) molecules are approximately 80 nucleotides in length.
Source: RNAcentral
GGUGGAGUGGAGAAGGGGUUAUCUCGUCAGGCUCAUAAUUUGAAGGUCGUUGGUUCGAAUCCAACCUCCACCA